This 1101-nucleotide ribosomal RNA is filed under the name Thalassiosira minuscula. RNAcentral describes it as "partial Bacterial large subunit ribosomal RNA". It matches the Rfam family "Bacterial large subunit ribosomal RNA", at positions 661 to 1826 of the family's 2925-position model. Lineage: Eukaryota; Bacillariophyta; Thalassiosirophyceae; Thalassiosirales; Thalassiosiraceae. The record is from RNAcentral.
UGUAGCCGGAGCGAAAGCGAGUCUGAAUAGGGCGAACAUAGUUAGUUUGAGUAGACGCGAAACCGUGUGAUCUACCCUUGGGCAGGUUGAAGCUUUGUUAACCCAAAGUGGAGGACCGAACCCGUUGACGUUGAAAAGUCUUGGGAUGACCUGAGGGUAGGGGUGAAAGGCCAAUCAAACUGGGAGAUAGCUCGUACUCCCCGAAAUGCUUUUAGGAGCAGCGUGGAGGUUAAGUCUGGCAGAGGUAGAGCUACCGAUAGGACUAGGGGGAGUCAAAUCCUACCAAAUCCUGACGAACUCCGAAUGCUGUCAGAUAUACUCUGCAGUGAGGGUUUGGGUGCUAAGGUCCAAAUCCGAGAGGGAAAGAACCCAGAACUACAGCUAAGGUCCCAAAAUCUGUGUUAAGUUGAACUAAGGCGGUCCAGUUGCAGAGACAGCCAGGAUGUUGGCUUGGAAGCAGCCAUUCAUUUAAAGAGUGCGUAACAGCUCACUGGUCGAGCGAUAGGGCAUCGAUAAUAAUCGGGCAUUAAGUGCGGUACCGAAGCCUAGGAUAGUAAUAUGGUAGGGGAGCAUUCUCUGUGCAGUGAAGAUGUGCUGUGAGGCAUGUUGGAGCGCAGAGAAGCGCAAAUGUAGGCAUAAGUAACGAUAAUGCGGGCGAGAAACCCGCACACCGAUAGACUAAGGUUUCCCCGGCAAUGCUAAUCAGCCGGGGGUUAGUCGGGACCUAAGGCGAACCCGAGAGGGGUAGUCGAUGGACAAUCAGUUAAUAUUCUGAUACUACCCAUAACUGCGAUGGGGUGACGGAGGAGUGAAAGUCUCGCGUACUGACGGAAUAGUACGUUGAAGCAGUAAUGCGAUAGUACACUAAGGCUACGGCCGCGGUGAUAAUGUAGCGAAGGAGGUUCCAAGAAAAGCGAGUGAAGCAGCCUGUACCGUAAACCGACACAGGUGGUUGGGAUGAGAAUUCUAAGGUGCUCGAGAGAUUCAUGGCUAAGGAACUAGGCAAAAUCGACCCGUAACUUCGGGAGAAGGGUCGCCCUCCAAUGGAGGGCCGCAGUGAAGAGGUCCAGGCGACUGUUUAUCAAAAACACAUGGCUUUGC